GGACUCAGGGAUCCUGCUGCUACCAGUUUGCUUGGUGACGUGAAGGCCAGCUAUGACUCUCACCCGGGGAAACCUUCCACCGAUUCUGCACCGUGCAGACGACGCAAUCAGAGCUUCUGUGCGGGGGACGUGCGGCAGCGGCUCCAGACAGAAAGAAAUGUGCAAAAAUGUGAAUCGUGCCAAAGAUUCAGCUCUCUGGAAGACCAGAUGCCCUGGAGAUCUCUUCUGGAGCAGAGACAGUCCUUCUGUAGCACAGUGGCCCCAGGGUGUCUGGAUACUUGGUUAACUAUGAUUCUGGGUGUUUUCUGCACGAGAUAAACAUUUAAAUCAACAGACUGAGUAAGGGAGACGGCUUCAUCCAUUUGUGCCUGAGUAGAGCACAAAGCCAAGAAGGGAGACAUCCCUCUGCCCGACUGUUGCUGAGCUGGGGCACAGCCUUCUGCUGCCUUCAGGAGCCGACGCAGACAGAAUCCAUACCACCAGCUCCCAGGUCUCCAGCAUGCCCACGGCAGGUCAGGGACUUCCCGGACUCCAGUCACGUGAGUCAACUCCUCAUAAUAAAUCUCUGUAUGUCCUGUCAACCCUGUUUCUCUAGAGAACCCUGAUACAGAGGAGUAAUCCACAUUCAUUUUAAAUACUUAGCGUAUCAAAAAAAAGCUAUGAAAAAAUCACCUAUAAUCUCAAUUCUCAAAAAUCACUAGGGACAAUAGCACAGUGUCAUGAUAUGCAGCUUUGUAAUCCACUUUCUUCCAUGU
This is a long non-coding RNA of Neogale vison (American mink), 755 nucleotides long. RefSeq lists it as uncharacterized. The record is from RefSeq and is a predicted model, not a curated record. The transcript has 4 exons. Lineage: Eukaryota; Metazoa; Chordata; Mammalia; Carnivora; Mustelidae.